CCGGUUGAUCCUGCCGGAGGUUACUGCUAUCGGAGUUCGAUUAAGCCAUGCGAGUCUAAAGGUUUCUUUCGAGAAACCUUGGCGGACUGCUCAGUAACACGUGGAUAACCUACCCUUGGGACUGGAAUAACCCCGGGAAACUGGGGAUAAUACCGGAUAGAUCAGGGAUGCUGGAAUGCACCUUGAUCCAAGGCUCCGGCGCCCAAGGAUGGGUCUGCGGUCUAUCAGGUUGUAGUGGGUGUAACGUACCUACUAGCCGACGACGGGUACGGGUUGUGAGAGCAAGAGCCCGGAGAUGGAUUCUGAGACACGAAUCCAGGCCCUACGGGGUGCAGCAGGCGCGAAAUCUUUACAAUGUGCGAAAGCAUGAUAAGGGAACUCCGAGUGCCAGUAUCUAAUACUGGCUGUCCUUGUGCCUAAAACGCACAAGAUAGCAAGGGCCGGGUAAGACCGGUGCCAGCCGCCGCGGUAACACCGGCGGCCCGAGUGGUAGCCGCUAUUAUUGGGUCUAAAGGGUCCGUAGCCGGUUCGAUAAGUCCUCUGGGAAAUCUGGUUGCUUAACAAUCAGACUGCCAAGGGAUACUGUCGAACUUGAGACCGGGAGAGGUAAGAGGUACUUCAGGGGUAGGAGUGAAAUCUUGUAAUCCCUGGGGGACCAUCUGU
This 663-nucleotide ribosomal RNA is filed under the name uncultured archaeon. Its description in RNAcentral is "bacterial SSU rRNA". It matches the Rfam family "Archaeal small subunit ribosomal RNA", at positions 4 to 664 of the family's 1478-position model. The record is from RNAcentral.